CCUCACUUUUCCCCAGCUGGGCAUCCUUAAUCUUGCUCGAAUCGUCAUUUUUCAUAUCUUUUUCCAGCUGGGCUUCUUUAAUUUGAGCUGAAUCAGGUUCUUUGACUGAAAUCGGAGCAGAAUUUUGAGAAGUGAUGAUGGGGGUGGGGGUUUUGCGUUUCUUGGGAGAUGUUUUUGUUGUUUCUGCUCGGACUUUUUCUUGCUAGCAUUGGACAUGAGGAGGUCGAAGGCAGAAGGGCGAGAAGCCAUUGCUGCUAGUGAUCCUGGAUUAACUAAUGGAAUCGAGAGAAAGAAGGAUCUCUGAGAGAAGGGUUUUGCGGGAAGGAAGAAUAGAUGAGAAAGUAGGGCUUAAAGCCGAGUGGUUUUCUGAGGGGAAACGAAAGAGUGUGGUGGUAAAGUGGAGUGAAGAAGAGCAUGACCUGAAUGCGGUGAGCAACAGCUGCCGUUUUUCUGCUACGGAGAGGGAGACAACUGACACGGGUUGCUGUUGCGGAUGCGGAUGGCUAGGAGGGAAGAGGAAGGCAAAUGGCAGGAAAGGAAAUUGAGGGUUUUGUGCACUUAGGAUUGAAAAUUGCCAGAAAAGCCUUUGGAAAAAAAUUGCUGGGGAAGCCUUUUUUGUGUUUGGGCGAUGAGUUGUUAGCAAAAUCUUGAGAGAGGGACUAAAAUUUUCAUUUCGUAAGCUAGCAAUAGGUGACUUGAAAUUUGUGAUUUGAAGGUUUGAGGUGUACCCCCCAAAAAAAUAAUAACAAAGUCGUAAGCUAGCAAUAGGCAGACUAGUGAGUUAGUGGUUUAUUAGUGGUUUAUUAUACGUUUUCUUUCACUAUGUUCACACUCUGAAGUCUGAAUUAUUCCAACCCAAUUGAUGAAAAAUGUUUUAAAAAUGUUUAGGACAAGUGCAAUAUCCACAUAGUUUAUUUUUGUGAUAUGUCGCAUCGUGGAGUGGAAACGGCAUGCAUAUAUGCUUGGGCUCGUGAGUUAUCAAGUAAUUUAGAUUAAUCAUAUUUUGUACCAUAAUUUGGAUCAAAAGUUAAUUAGGCCAACCCGUGGAUCAAAAGCGUUACAAUUUUGACUUAUUUUAUUGAUUCAAGUUUGUUCAAAAACUUUUUUUGGUAAAAAAUUUAUGCGACAUGGAAACAUAAUUUGGUGAAUUCACAAAACCAUGUAUAUUGCACAUGCCAAAAUCAGCUCGAAAGUGGAUUGUCCAACCCAAUUGUAAUGAUACAAGUUUUAAAAGAUUAGCAAAGAUGCAUACGAAGUAAAAAAAGGUGAUUAGCAAAUGUGUUUACGAAAAAAAAAUUUAAAAGAAAACAGUUUUCCAAAAUUUUAACUCUCGCACCCAUUCCUACACUUUUCUACUCCCAACUGUCAAGUUCAGAAUUCGAACUUUGAACUCGACGACGUUGGUCAUUGGACCAAUCCCAAUGCUUAAUUUUACCAAACUUGCAAAACAAGAAAUAAGAAUAAAGACCGACCAAAACGUCUAUAAGUAUACUGAUCAUCACAAAUAAUAUAAAAUCUGUUUUGACUUGCCAAACUUAGGUUAUUUGCAUGAGUUUCUUCAUUGUUUUUUAAUUUUAAUAAUAAUUGAUAUCCCUCUUCUGAAGUCUCUCCACAGUCUCCACACACGGGGUUGAUGGAACAGUUUUUGAAUGAGAGCCAUUCAAGUCAUGUUGUUGAUUGGAGUUCCAGAAAAAAAAAACUCCAAAUUCCGUCUGCAACUGGCUGGGGUACGCUGGUACGAACAAAAAAUCUAUAAUAAGAUAAACAAUGGAAUGUAGUUGUAAUGAUGAACCCCUACCUAAACCUAAAUAAACGGAAUAAUUAAUACACCACCAAAUCAAUAAUUGUAUCAUAUUCUACAUGUUCUUUCCUUCUCGAACUAGCUUGCAACUGGUUUUGAUACGUCAGGUUUCUUUACAGGGACUAGACUACAACUACUUGUAUGGAGGAAGAAACUCCAAGUUCCUGAGUCCACGAAUUUCGGAUCCCACCAGUGAUUUUUGUGUUGUUGGUCAUGAUUAGUUUCUUCUUAUCUUCUCCCAGUGCAGGACGGUUGGUCAACUGAACAUGCAAGUUGAUAAUUGCUCAAUUCUUCAAUGAUAAUAAUGUUGAUGAAAAACUCACAAAUUAUGCAGAACGAUCUGGAGCAGAAGGGCCUGCAUUGAUUGCUUAUCAUGAGAAUCCACUUCACUUGGGCAGAGAGCUAGGGGGUGAGCAUGAGAAAUGGCAGCUACCCGUUUGGAUUGCAUUUUUCGUCAUUUUUCAUGAAAAAAUUACUGUAGCGAUUUGAUGUACGUAAGGAAAAAAGAUAAUAGAAAAAUGUGUUCACGAAAAACGACGCAAUUUUCUGGUAAAAAAUGGCAAUCCAAACACACUGGCUUCAACUACUUGGUCCACUAAUAUUGCUGCUGCAUAUGGAGGUUGAGAAACAGGGAUGGUGUUGGUUUGUGGGUCCCCCUUAGACUGACUUUAGGGUCCGUUCUUUCGUUGACUCAUGAGUGUUUCUAAUCUAACUGUGUGUGUUCUUCUUCUGUCUAUAGAAAAAAGAAAGUGUAGUAAACUUUUUUCAUUCUUAUUACUCCUCCGUCCCACUUUGAUAGUCUGUUUUUUUUCACACAAUUUAAGGAAAAAUAGUUAAUUUUGUUGAAAAAGUAAAUUUAGAUUGCCAUUUUUCUAAAAUAUCCUUACAUUAAAUAUGGUACAACUUUAUGGGAACUUAGAAUUGAUGGUAAAAAAAGAAUAAACUCUUAUUAAAUGGAGUAGAUUUAUAGUAACAACUACUUACAUUGAAUAAGGGUAUAUUAGAAAAAUUAAAAUACAACUACAUUCUUCAAUUGAAAAGUGGACUACAAUUUGGGAUAGAUGAAAAAGGAAUACAGGACUAUCAAAGUGGGACGGAGGGAGUAUGAUACUUUUAUUAUAGUUCAUAAGCCCAAAAAAAAAAGAAAGAAAGUGUAGUAACAUUUGAUUCGUAGUCAUUAUAUAUAUUAUUAAAAUGCAUGCAUAUACAUUUAUAAUAUUUUUUUAAUUUAAUUUCACACUUUCAAAAAAAGUACUACUGUAUGAAAUCAUUUUGGCAGUGUCCACUAGAUAGCAUUAGACAAUUAAGACAUAAUAGGGAUUGCAAUAAUGUUUUUAAAAAAAAAAUUCCAAUCAGUAACCGACACACUACUCAUUUUCCAACAUAGAACUACUGAAUUCAUGGCCACAGAAAAGGGAUUAAAUUUCUCUUUUAACUAUAAAUUGAGGGUUCGAACUUCACUUAUAAUAAAAAAAUAAUUUAAAGGAGAUAUUAAAGUAUUCUUUUGAUUUAAUCAGAUUUUUAUAUAGAGUCUUUUUAGACUUUUUUCCUUUAAAUUAAGACAGAUUAAAUUAUAAAAAUAUUUAUCGAUGUUAUAAAAUAAAUAAGUAUACCAUAGCUUUCUAGUCAAAACAGGAAAAAGCUGAUAUGAUGAGUGAUGACCCUAGUCGCAGAUCCCAAAACACUGUCCACCUGAAUAUGCAUAUAAUUUUGGCUGGCUACACGAACGUGCAGGUUGUAAGACGGGGGAAGGAUGGUUAGGCAAGCUUGUUUUUUGGGUAAGAGAGGAGUUCUUGGUUAGACGAGUGAGAGCGUACGUGACUGUGCACUUUUUUUUUUUUUUUGGGAUAGAGCUCUAUUGGCAAAAAAAAUCUUUAAUAGCACCGCAAAUAUGUUUUUGUAUUACUUUUUAAUAUUUUUUUAUUUCAUAUACAUUACAUUAUAAAAAAUCUUAUGCUAUUUUUUAAAAAUAUUAUUCCAAAUAAUAUUCUAUCCAAAUACACUAGACUAUUUUAUUUGCAUCAUAUUCAAUCACCUUUUAAUUAUUUUACAUGCAUCGUAUCAUAUAGAAUGUGCUGUAAUGUUAACCUAAAUAAUUUUUCAAGUAAUCUUCCAUCCCAUUUAAGAAUAUUUAAAUGUACAAUUUAUAUUCCAAUUACAUCACUGCAAUGUACUAAAAUGAACCCCUCCCCCCUCCCCCCAAAAAAAAGAAUAAAAGGGAGGAUGAAAUGCUUUAUAUUCCAAUUACAAAUCACCUUCUGCAAUUAAUCACUUUAAGAAAAAUCUCAAACACUUCCCCUCCUCUUUUGCUUCAAAAGGGAGGAUGAAAUGCUUUAGUCUUCUCAUAAAAUUCAAAUGUUAAUUGCUUUCACCUAUUAAGCCAAGUGCCCCCAAUCUUGUUUAUACUUCUUGAACACCAAAUUCCACAGGACUAGUACUCGAUUAGUUAUAAACCCUUGUCAAGAUUCCAGUUUCUGAAUGCAACUUACUUCUGGAAAACCGAAUUCCACAUGACUGGGAACUCAAUUAGUUAUACACCCUCGUCAAGAUUCAAGCCGAUUGCAGAUGUCCUGCCAUAGAAUGGGAAACAGUGAAGAAAACAAAGAAAGGAUUCAUUUACUUUUCAUACCUCUCAUUGGUUGGGACAAAAAGUAAUAUUAGUCCAUCAUUAUACUAGUCCAAUACCUCAUCGAGACAAGAAAACGCGUUAUAUCAUUUCUUGGGUCAUCCACGUGUUUUUACUUUUCCUUUUUUUUUUAUGCUUUUGCUUUUGGGUACAUAUACAUCAUGAUUUUUAGAUUUUUGGCAAAAAAAAAAACAUUUUUGAAUAGUCAUUACAUUUUAUAUUGAAAUAUGCUCAUAUAGAGACAGAAAUGUCCAUUAUAUAUAAACUUAUAAAAUCACACAAGUCAAUAUGCACAAUUAAUAAUUCUCUAUUCUCAAUAAGUUCUAAACUGUUGAUUUAACUUUUUUAUUUAGACAAAAAAAGUCGAUCGGGGCGAUUAUUAAGUAUAUCUAGUAGUUGAAUCCAAAAAUCUACUUGGACACACGAGAAUUCCACUUGAUUUUAUUUAACGUGUCAAGUGGACUCCACUUAACAUGUAAAUAUGCAAAUGGAAUCCUUAUAUAUCCACAAGAAGCUUCACUGUUGAUCUUGGACUAACUACUAGUAGUUGUUUCGAGAACCGACAUACAAUUUCUAGUUUAGUUUAGUUUUUGGAGUAUAAUUAACAUUUCUUUAAGAAUAAUGUAGCACAGAGUAACACCAUACAAGAAAUAGUAGUAUUUUCUCGUGAAUAUGAUGUAUUUAGUGGAGUUCUUAUUGGAGUUUAGUAUAGAUUUUUGGGCUUUGCUUUUGUUUGGACAAAUGACUUGGGAUUUUCCCUUCGAUUUUGAUCUAAAAAUUGACGACUCACCUAAAUAAGAACUUAGGUAGGUAGAGACUAUCGGCAUGGACUUUGGAUCCCCAACACUUUCGCCAUCGAAUGGAUUCUACUACUACUACUACUUUUUUUUUCCUUUUUAAAUUCAUAUGACGGGGGCCCACAAAGCUUCACAGAAAACACACUGCCCCACACGGAUUUAAGACUCGAUUUUCCUGGAGUCAGUUGCUUUGCUCAUUGCCCUCUGUACUACUAUGAGAUUGCGGGUGGGGUCCCCAAUCCCCAUAUGGUGACCGGUAAUUUGCAAUUUUCCAAUGUUUUUAAACUCGGACCGGUCAGUGAACCGGAGAGGUUGCCGGUUCGCGGUCCGACUGAUUCGACCGGUCCAACCGGCCGGUUCACAGGUUCACUGAUUUUUUUUUUUUUUUUAAGUGUUAAGUACUAAACAGGUUUAAUUCUACACUUGAACUUUACCAACAUAACUUAAUUUAAGUUAUGAUAAUAAUAAAUUUCCUAAAAGUUAUACAUAAAACAUGGAAUGAUAAAUAUAAUUAAAAUAUCAUAAUUCACCACAAGUUUUCAUAAAUUCAUUAUAAACAUAAAUAGAUACAAUCCAAAUGUUCACCAAUUAUCACAAAUAAAAACACAAAAAAUAAAUAAAUUAAAUAUUGAAAUUCUUUUACAACCCUUAAAAAAAUCCAUAAAAGAGUUCAAGUUAAGACAAAUAAUUUGAAUAGCAAACUUUUAUGAGUGGCAUGAUAAGCAACCACAGCACCUUCACAAUUUAAUCAACUUAAGCUGAAAAAGUUAAAAUUUUAUUAUAAAAAUAUAAAUCUAAUUGCUCAAAUUAAAAAAAACUAAAAAUUUUUGAAAAACAAAUAUACAGUUAAACACAUAAAAAAUUAAUUGCUACUAAACAUUACUAAUUAACAUGUUAUAUUAAAUUCAAUGAUCCUAUACCAUUAAUUAUUUUAAAUUCAAUUAUCAGUAGCUUCGAUUAUGUGCUAACUAUCAUAUUUUUGACCAGCCCAAUGUUAUUAUUUAUAAUUCUUACCCAAUUCCUACAUGGAUGUGCACUACUUUUGCAAAAAUUUCAUCAUUAAUUAAUCAAAUAAAAAUAAAACAAAAAAUGAGGGAAACAUAUGAAAAUUGAGGGGAAAAAGAAGAAAAUGCAAAAAAAUCAACUAAAGAUAAUAAUAUAGAAAAAAAAACCUUGAAAAGAAAAAAAUUAAACUUACCAAGAUGUUGGAAAACAAGAAAAGUCGAAUUUUCAACUUGUUUACAAUCUGCUAAAGAUAAUAACCUGAUAAUAAUGGUGAAGACUUGAGAAAAUCUUGUUGUGGAUAUUUGGGUUAAAAAUGGUUAAGAAGAAAAAAUUGAAAAAAAAAAUAAGAGAAGAACUUGAUGUUUUAAUAUAUUUUUUAGUCAAGUAGAAUUCUCAACAAACUUAACUACAGUCUAGCGGUAAGAUUGUCAUAUGCAAACUUGGAGACUCGAAUUAUGGCUACACCAUUCUUGAUAUUUUGUUGAAAAAUUUAAAAAACCGCCGAUUCACGGUUCUUAACGGUUCACACGGUUCAUCCGGUUCGUCCGAGUUUCAACGGUUCUCCAUGAACUUCCGGCUUUAGCAUUAGACCGGACCGGUGACAUGGCCGGUUCGCGGUCCAACUGGUCGAACCGGCCGGUCCGGUCCGUGUGAGAACCCUGAAAAUAGAUAUAUAAGCCAGUGCAUAUUUCAUUUGCAUUUUUUUUAUUCCUUAAUAAUUUCUAACAUUACCUUUACUUGUUCGCAAUUAAGUACGUAAAAAUAGAUUUAUGAAAAAAAUAAUAUAAUUUUCCUAAGUUAUGAAAUUUCUUGGUUUUGCUAGACUAAAUUAAAAAUCUUUAGUGUUAGAUUAAUUUUUCGCCUUAACAUAAAAUGUUAGAAUACUUAAUUCCUUUAUGCUAAAGUAAUGAUAAUGGAAUCGAUAGAUUUACUAUCUUUAAAUAAAUUAUUUAAGUUCCUAUGAUUAAUUCCAAUUAGUUGCUAAUGUUAAAUGUUAAUAGGAAUUUCCGCGUUAAGAUAAAAAUCAAUGAAUUUUAGAUAAAUAUGAUAUUCCUAUACUAAACAUACUUAAGGCAUGAAAAUUCGAUAAAUAUAUCAUUAUCUUUCUUUAUUUUUAUAAUAAGUGCGUAAAAAUAAUUUUAUGGGCAAAUUGUCGCACUUGUAUGAAAUUAUUAUUUCACUUUACUUUAUAUUACUAAAUCGAUAAAUUUUGUGUAGGAUAACUUUAAUUCUUGAGAAUAAAUAAUUGGAGAUGCGGAUAAUUAAGUUAAUCGCUAAAUAAUGUUAGGAACCUUAAUAUUUAAGUUUAAUCGAUAUUUAUUCGAUAAAAAUGGUUAAGUAUAUUGGGGGGUUAUUAGGCGUUCAAAUCACUCUUGAGGAUAAAUCUUAGAAAUUAAGUUGAGAUUAGAAAACAAAGUGAAAAGACUAAAAGACCCUUACAAUUUCAUACGAAACCAAACGACCCCUAUGACAAAAUUCCCAUCACCGCAACUUCGACCAAUUACAUUUUAACCAAUUCGAUACGCAAACCUUUCGUAAACCGCGGCACCACAAAACCACUUGAUCAAAUUCACACUACAUCUCACAACCAUUUCAGCCGACUCUUUCUCUGCACAAGCCAAAUCCGCAAUCCAUUGCACUCCAAAUACCACGAUACCAACCACUCUACUCUUUCAUUUUUGAUUCACAACAAAACCUCAUUUCUUCCCUGCCUUGUCCGAGAGCAUCCGAGAGAGUGAGAGAGCUGCUGGAAAUUUUUGGUCCUGCCGUGAGUAGAGCAAAGCCAGGAAGGAGAAUCUGCAGGAAGCUACACCAUCUCACCUUCAUCCGCAACCCAAUUCCAGCCGCAACUCAAACCAGGACCACGUCUGAACUUGGCCGAGAGUGAGGGAAGACAUUUCUGGAAAAUUCGUGUGAGGGUUUAGCUAUUAGCUGAGGUAAUUUCUGAACUAAAUAAGUUAAUUGCUAGUGAAUGAAGCCAUAUCAGAGGUUGUAUGGGUUGAUUGUGUAGUUGGAUGAUGAAAUCAAGAGUUGAGAAAAAAAUUCUGUUUUGGCUUGAAAUUUUUGCCGAGAGGUUUCUUGAUUAAUGUAGCCUGAUUUGGUUUAAUGUUGUUAUUUAAGCUUAUAACCAUAACUAGUUACUUAAUCACAAGUUAAUUAGGUUCUGCUUGCGGCUAAUUAGUUAGUUAAAAAAAAAAAAUGAAAUCAAAGAGCAAUCUGCCAAGCAUGUUCAUCCGAGUCAGGCAGGAAAAUUUUUGAAAAUUUUGAUGUUCAUGGUUGUUAUGUGAACUUGAUUUCCAAACUGGAAAUGUUAAUCAGUGGUUAAGCAUAUGCAUAUUGAAUUUGAGCUCCUAACACCUUGACUUAACCAAGGAAAAUCUGGUUUUAAAAAUCAUUUUUAUUUGCUGGAAAAUUUUAGCAAAAGCCGUGAGGUUUAAAUCUGGAAAUUUUGGGGGUUUGUAACCAUGACUUAAACUCAACUCUUGAUCUGGAAAUGUCUAUUGUCUAGUUAAGUAUUUGUAAUUAGGAGUUGAGAAUUUAAAAGCAUGUUUUAAACCAGAAAAUGAGACGAAAACAGAAAAUUUCUUCAUGCACGAUUCACGUAGCUUGUUGAACAGAAUUCUGAAAUUUUUGGAGCGUUUGAACCUGCUAUUCGAAUUCGACUUUCAACCAAAAAUAUUAAUUGGUUAGCCAAAGGUUCACAUGAUGAAGUUGAGAAUCUAAAACCAUGUUUAGCCGAGGAAAAAAUUUGAUUUAUAAACACCUCAAUGCUGGGGAAAAAAAAAUUUCUGGAAUAGCCGAGAGGCUUGAUCAGAAAAUUUCAGUUGUUUUCUUUUGAACUUUAAAUUAUUUCUGGAUUUUUCCUUGGAAUUUUAAUGGUUGAGAAAUGCAGAGAAGUUGUAAGCCUUAAGUUGUGUAAGUCGGUUAGCAAUGAAAAUAUUUGAGAUAUAUGGAAUAGUGGAACCAGAAAAUGUGAGUUAUACAUGUGGAAAUUUUUGUGUGAUAGCCAAAGGGUAAGUUGGAGCCUUAACUGGAUUUUUUUUUUAUUUGUUCCUUGAAACUUGAUGGAUGGAAACGCCUGGAAAAUAUUGUUUUGGAGUUCUACAAGAAGUGUAUGGAUAGGUUAAAUAAAAACAUGUUGGUGUUAAAAGAGAAAAAGGAGUUUUCACAAGUGAAAAACUGAAAUUCCAGAUUUUUGGAUAUCUCUGACCAGUCUCAACGAAAUGGUUAUAUCUUGGUGUGGAAAAAUCCGUUUAAGGCGCCGUCAGUGGCGUUCGAAACUAGAAACAUAGGUCUUUGUCCUGUAAAAAUUUCAUAUUUUUCCUCCAUGUGUACUGUUGCCGGUAAACCCUCAAAGUGGACUGUUUGGACGGAUGUCCUGUUUCUUCGUGAAACUGAAAUUUGGUUUGGAUGGAUAUUUUAGCUUACUUGUGGUAUAAAUUCUUGAUUUAAAUUGUGGAUUGGAAGUAAUUGAUGUUGUCAAGGGCUAAUGAUUGAUGAAGCCUUGGCCAUUUGAAUGACUUUAUAAUUACUACUGGAAGACGAAAGAAAAUUUCUGGAAAGUCUUGGAAGCUUUACUUUUAUUUUUAAUUGCUUAUGAUGGGAUUUCUGAAACCAAGUGCUAAUGAUUGAUGAAGCCUUGGUUGAUUUAUUGAAAAUUUAUUGAAGGUGGGCUCUAUGAAUUCCCACCCUGAAUGGAUAACUGAAUUGCUGAAAUUGUUUAGACAUCUGCGCUACUAUUUUGUAAAACUGUGAGUUGAUAUAAAUUGUUGAAGCACAGGGCUAUGAAUUAACGAGCCCUAGUGUUAUUACGGUUUAAGUUCUAAUUGUGCAAUAUUGAGAAAAUGUGAUUUUUGGAUUGGAAUCGAAAAUGUGAGAAGUUGUACCAACCUUGUGACUCCAAGUAAACGCUUGACUAAGUAAUUGAAAAACAUUUUGCUCUAAGUCUUGAACGGUACAAUUUUAGCAUAGUACGACUAAACAUAGUGUCUAAUAUUAUAUAUAUAUUUUUUUGACUUAAAAACUUGGGCAACAUGACUUUUAACCCUUAAGUUAGACUAGCCUUAUUUAUUUGGGAAAAAUAACUCUCCAAGACUUAAAACCUUAGUUUGUUUCAAUUUCCUUCCUUCUUUAUAAAUCGUUUAAGGCUAGUUGUAACUAAGGAAAAGUUUUAAAGGGUGAGUCUUGAUCACCUUAGCUAUAUGUAUAGAAACUCGCUCGGCAAGAGAGACAUUAUUUUCUUUUAGCAAAACAGCUUUAGCAACGUUUGUAUAAGAAACCUUAUCUUGAAGCCUUAGCAAUAAAUUUUGCAAGCACCACCACUCAAAAGAACUUUUUCUCAAGGUAUACUCUUAGCCUCGAUAUUAAAUAGCUUGCCGACUUAUUUUAAGAAAAUAAUAAUAGUAUUUUCUUUAAGAAAAGUAUUCCAAGGAAAAACUAAAGGAAACAAUUCUUCUACUUUCGUCAAGAUUCAACCUAUGGAGAUUCUUGAUUUUUCUAAGGGAAAGUGAACUAGUAGUAUAUUAGAUAUACCUCUAUAUCUAUAAGCUUAAAGACUGAGUAGAAACUUAUAGUUUCAAAAUUUGGUUUUUAGGAUACUGCGAGGACGCGGAAUUCGAUUCCCAACUUGAUAUCUAAACUUCACUCUGGGUGAGUGUCCCUGCUUGUUCUAUGCUUAACCGUUUAAAGUGCUUUCUUGACUUGAUAUGUGAUAAUUUGAAAAAUUGGUUUCUGAUCCAUCGAAGUGAGCUGUGUGUACUUUAUCGCACUAGCCGUUCGAGUGGUGACUUGUGCAAAAACAUUUUUCUUCUGAAUCCAUAAAUCUAAAAUGUAGUUGCGUCGUUGGGUGAAUCCCUCGACUUCUGUAUCCAACUAUCAUAAAUCUAAAAUGUAGUUGCGUCGUUGGGUGAAUCUCUCGACUUCUGUAUCCAACUACCAUAAAUCUAAAAUGUAGUUGCGUCGUUGGGUAAAUCUCUCGGCUUCUGUAUCCAACUACCAUGACGGGUAUAUCUCGAGUAUACUACGUCCUUAGUCGGUGAGCGGGCCCGGGACAGGGGUAUGAAAGGUGACGGGUUAGGAUCAAAAUGAGUGAAUGUACAUGGUCUCUAAGUAGUGAGAGUUGACGGAGGGUCAACUACGAUGAAUGGUGUUCAAGCGAGGAAAAUGGCUCCUGAGAGCCCCUGUAUCCUACCUUGUGCUGUUAUACGCUUUCCUAACUGUUUAAAUUUGCUGAGUUAUUAUCCGCUGUUUGUUAUUACGUGAUUGCAUGUUUUGGGGCACCACUGAGCUUUAGCUCACCCCACGUUUAUUGUUUUCCUUAACAGGUUCUGGAAACUGAAAGCUGGACACUUACUUAUGUUUUUCUUUUGGAUUGUAUUUGAAUAUUAUGACUUAUUCUGUGGGCUGUAAUGUGUUAUCUGGGAUAAUGUAUUUUUCCUUUUUGGAUUGCCACUUGAAGCUGGAAAAUGUGUAAACCCUAAUUCGAUUACUUGGUUUGUAAGUUUGUAAUAGAGAUUUAUGGAUUUUAUCUAUCCGGUUUGUUACGACUUAUUUCUUUGAUACGUAGCAUGUAGGACGUUUAAGGGCCUCGACUGGUUAUUUUUAUCACUGCUAUCUCUGAAGUUAAUGUGGCUUUAAGGAUGAUCUUAUUCGGGGAAAAUUGUUUUGUAAUAUAUUAGGUUAUUCUUCGAAAGGUUCGGGUUAGAUUGCUCGCAUGAGUCUUGGCGAGAGUUGGGCAGACGGCCCGCCAACCCUUUGGUUCGCCUCAGGGGGAAGUGGGGUCGCCACAGUCCGGUUCUGAAAACACUGCAAUUUUCAACUCUCACAGUUUUGCCCUGCUGCGUCCGGCGCACCUGCCCUUCCAACGGUUUGAAUGGGUCGCGUCAUUUCGUCUUUGAUCUCAGCCGUCUCUUUCAAAAAUUAUAUGUGUUUUUUUUUUCAAAAAAAAUAUUUUUCAAUUAAACAAUUUUUUUAAGUGUUUUUUUUCAGACUUUUAAAGUUAGUUAAUUAAAACCUUCAAAUCUUACGAGGGAGGGAGAAAAGGAAUAGGAAAGGCUUGACGGUCAGAACCUAGGAAGGAAAAGUUUUUGUUCUUAGCUCCGCAUAGUUGAUGCUAUGUUACUAAAACAUGAAAGAAUAUGAAUUGAUAGUUUUGGUAGAAAAAUUUUAAAAUAUUUUUUUAAUACAUUUUUCAAACGUCAUUGUAUUUCACAUAUAUUACAUUAUUACAUUAUAAUUUUCUACAAAAAAAAAUAAACUUAAAAAGAUGGCAAUCCAAAUGAGACUGAAAUCAAUUUUUAUGUGUAUGACUUCUUAAAACGAAAUUCCUAAAGUAUAUAUAUAUAUAGGCUAAGAGUUUAUGUCUGAUAAAAGAGGGUGCAAUUCGACAAUCUUUCAGAUUUUUUUAUAGCCGUCCAAUUGAAAAUUUGAAACUGAGUUAUCUAUAUAAGAUAAACAUAAAAGAAAAGAUUUAAGCACUAUUUAAAUUGUAAACUGAACCAGAGUCAAUAGAUUAAGACCCGUUAAGAAUUUGGUGUGGUCUGCCUUUUGGUGGACAGUUUUACUGCCAUUAAUCCAUCACUUGUUUAUCCCUCUUUACAUUUCAGUUUCUGCGUGAAACUUGUAAUUAACCUUCUAAUACCAAAUCAAUAUGUGUGUAGACUGUACACAUUGAAUAUUAUUUGAGAUAAUUUUUAUUAAAAAAUACUAUAAUAUAUUUUUUAUAUAAUGUAUGUAAUAUAAAAAUAAUUAAAAAUAUAUGUAUCAUACGAGCAAAUAAAUUUACGUAAAUAAUUUAUUAUCCAGACACAGUAGUCUUUACCGUACGCCUGGAAAUUGGAAUGGGAGGGGACGAAAAGAAAAAGCUUUGACACAGUGACAUGCAAUGGCUCCUCACAUCUUUUCUUCUGUGGAUGAACGAAAAAAUCCAUUUGCGUUUCGAUUGACAAGGUACCAGCUAUCCGACAUAGACGGGUUAUUCUUGCUUCGAACACAAGCAUUUCCAUAACUAUUGAUGAUGUCUCUUCGGGGACAUCCGAUAACUAUUUGAUGGUGGGGUUUUGAUGGUUUCUCUGCCUAAUUUUCUAGAUACAAAAUGAUACGAAAGUGAUUCUUGUAACGGGUGUUAAUUUGGCUCGGCACUCGUAAGCAUAUUUAAAUUACACUUAAUUUAUCAUGUAAUUUCACACAUUCACAUUUAUUAUUACUGUAUUUAGACCAUUUUUUUUCACAUUAAUUUUAAUUUUGUAAAAAUAUAACAUCUGAAAUCUCUCUUAACGAGUGCUCCUACGUUCAUAUAAAAUAAUAAUUAAUGUCUUUUGGUAUGAUAGUUUUGUCACAAGUACCUAAUAUUGCAUUUCAAGAUUCUUAAAAAGGAUCUACAUGUUUGAUGUUACUCUUCAUCCUAGUUAAGAUUGAGGUCCUGAAACUUUUUAAUCAACCAAGAUUCAAGGUUCUACAAAAUAGUGGUGGAAAAAAAUGGCAUUGCAUUUGUAUAAUCUUCCGUGUUCUGGGUGCUCCAAUGAUCCUUUCCAUUAGCAACUAAUUUUUUUUUUUUGAAAAAAGAUUACAAUUCAAACAAACCCAAUUGUUUGACAAAAUUUCUCAACUGCUUUGUAAUUCCAAGAAUUCUCAAGACCAACAUAGAGUUUAAAGGCGAGAAUCACAACUCUGACAGUAAAGGAUUAUAUUAAUUAGUGCGUUUGGAUUGUUGAAUUAUCUCAAAUAAUAUUUCACUUCCAUCAUAAACAUAUUUUUUCAAUAUACUUUUUUUUAAUAUUUUCAACUGCCUUUUUAUCUCAUAUACAUCACAUCACAAAAGUGUUACGGUAAUUAUUCCAAAUAAUACUCUAUCCAAACACUUAAACUCGGACCGGAGAGUGAAUCGAAAAAUUCAUCCGAUUCACGGUUCGACCGGUUCAAUUCCAGUUCAAAGGCUUAACAAAUUUUUAUUCAUUUUAGUAUUAAAAAUAUUGAAUAAAACUAAAAUAUUUAUCUUGGAGACUAAAGAUUUAAUAAGUACCGGUUGAACCUCUCAAUUUUUAUCAGUUUUACUAGUUCAAUCGACUCUUGACCGAGUUUGACUGAUUCAAUUGAUUUUUUAGAUUAUUAAUUGAAUUGGAUUGGAGGCAUAGACAGUUCGUGAUUCGAUCAAUCGGUCUGGUCUGAUUUUCGAAACACUGCUGCAAUAAAGAAACUAAAUGCAGCCUAAGGGCUUAUCGAAUGACAAGUAAAACAUCUGACCGAGUUAACCGUACAUCAAAGAGUACUGAAGAAAAAAAAAAAGAUUUCAUCCCAAUUUGCACGUUAUACAUGCACUUAAGAUUAUUAAGAAAACACUGAGGAUUACAACUAUCAAAGCAAGCUAGGUUGAGUUGCUAACUUUACCAAGAACAUAAAGCAUGCCGUGAACAUUAUUAAUAUAUAGUUGCAAAAUCUUUUAUCUUGAAAUUACUGAUGCACAUGCUGUAUUAAAUAGCCAAAUUGUUCAGAUAGACCAAUAAUUCACAAUGAGCAGAAUAACAGGUCGUCAACCUAGGAAGUAGUAAACUAAAAGUCGUUUUUAAAUAAUUAACUCAAUACCAUGAGUUAAUUGGACACACACACACUAUAUCUUAAAUAAGUAAAUAAUUAGUGUCGAGGGAGAGGAUAAUUAGUAGGUAGAGAGAGUGAAUAACUUUUUCUACAAGAGUGAGUAUGGAAGAACAUUCCAAUCAUAGAGAAAUGCUUUUUAAUUUUCCAUGAAAGAAGACUUCACCCCUCGAAUGGGUCUUUUCUGUGCCAAAUUUUGGUGGGAAUAUUUGGUGUUUCCCAGCAACCUUUUCUGACAAUCGCGUACAUACUUAUGUUGACUGAAAGGUGAAAAAAAGGUUUUAAAAAAUGGUUUUGAAAAUGAAGUGAGGAGAAAAAGAUAGAACUUGAAAAGGGCAGGCUGCAUUUUGAAGGGUUUGUAUGCUAUUCACUUCCACCUUCAACUUUAUGUUGGGAAAAGCACAUGGAGGCAUCAGUACACGAGUCAAAUAUAGCCAUUCGGUGAUGUUACACAUUAGACUAUCAUUACAAAUCAAUUUCCCUUGUAUUGAGUUGAUGUGUAGAAUGUUUCCCUUUGUAGCCAAAUUAGAGAUUUUUCGGUUUGAGUUACAAAUUAGUAGUGAUUCAUAUAUUGAAGAAGUAUUAACGCGCUUGUGGUGUUAAAAAUCAUCUCAAAAUGACUAUAAGAUUUGACAAAGCAAUUCUCGAAUUAUUUUGGGGAUAUAAUACUCAUUUCUUCAAUCACAUAUAUAUAUAUAUAUAUAUAUAUAUAAUUGACGAGUAUAUUUAACGAGUGCACAUCAGACACUUGUUACGAUGUAUUCUAGUGUAAAAUUUUUAAGCGCUUGGCAAGUGUCAUUUCCGUUCAACUGGGAAAUGGGAAUCAUAGCAUGCAAAAGGUACCAAACAAGUGUAGCAGAUUUUUUUUUUUUUUUUCGCAACGGUAGAUGUCCUAUAACCUAAUCUAACCUAAUUUAGGGGGAAGGGAUAAAGGGAGAUGGUCAACUAAAACCAAUCACAUAUUAUGGCAAAUUUGAGGGAGGCAGGGGUUAAACCCCUGAUUCCAGCAUCACUAAAGAGGGUGAUAACCACUGGACCAAAUUGACAGUGGCAAACAAGUGUAGCAGAUUGCUUAUGUUAAACUUGGAACUCUCAGUCAGUACUGUUGCAGAAAUUCUAAAGCACAGUCGAGUCCAAGACACAACAUGACGGUAUAACCACCUCCACAUAAUUAAUUAAUCAAAGCAGUUUAAUUGACGGGACAUUUUUUUAAGCCAAAAACAAAAAAAAGUUAGCUCGAAUUUCUAGGCAAAAAGCAAAAGAUACCCACCUAAUUCCUCACUUAACUUUUUAAGAACGAAUUUUAUACAUUUUCUUUCUGGUAGAAAAGGAUGUGUCUGUGUACCUCAUAUUGGCGGUAUAAUACUCGUCUGGUCUACAAAGUCUAUAAUGAUAUUCUGAGGAGGACCGAGCAGACUGCUCAUCUCAUCUUCAUAUAAUUGCAUUGUACUAUUCUAAAACAAUUGCAAAAUUUUUCUCCCUUGUUUUUUUGUCGGCAAUAAGAAUAAAAUUGGAAAGUAUAAUGCACUGCAGUACCCAAUCAAUGCUCUUCUUUUAUCCAAGAAAAUGAAGAAGAAAGAACAGUCAAAGGUGGUUGUUUGUCUGUUUGUUUGGAUGGAGUAUUAUUUGAAAUAAUUACUGUAACACCUUUUGUAAUAUGACGUAUGUUAGAUAAAAAAGUAUGGUUGAAAAUAUAAAAAUAUGAGUUGAAAAAUAUAUUUAUGAUACAAGCGGAAUAUUAUUUAGGAUUUACCGUCUGGUAAAAACGACAGCAGUGCAGUGGACUAGACAUUUUCUACUGACUCGUAGAAGUUAAAUUUGGAAUUUUGGUAGUCAAGUGGAAUAAUACUAGUAAGGUAAUAGAUAUGUAUGUAGAACCAAGUAAAACUUGGAUCCAUUCAAAUCACUAGAAUGUUUGUUAGAGCAGCAUCAUUUGCUGUUGUGGAUCAAUCGAUAAUUAUAUAUGCUGUUGUGGGUUCCGCUUCAGCUAAUGUCAAGAUUAACUCUCUUUUUAAGUGCAAUUUAAGUAACAAAGAAGUUAAAAGAACGAGAGAGGGAGUCAGAUAGAAAUUGGAGUGACAAAGAGGUAGAAAGUGUUCCAUAGCCCUCAAGGAAUGCUCCAACCCUAGUAAUGCAUAUCCACUUCAGUUAUCUUUCUUCCGCGAGCAAUUGAUUACUAAUCAAUUUCCUUGAUCUUUCUCGAUUUGUCAUAACCGAAAAAGAUGUGUGCUCAGCUCAUUUGAGGGGAAAUUAGCAUACAACUAUCAAAGACAUAAACUAAUAACAAUUCUAGUUUCAUCUUUUGAGUUAAUAAAUGACUAGAAUGGCAAGUAUAAAGACAUGGGAAAGGAACAAAACCAACUACCAUCAGCCAACCAAAAAUGCAUUAAACUUUGCAGAAACCUAGCCAAAUGAAUUUAAAUGUCGUAUGCCAAAGUAUCCCUUUUAUUUUCUUUUACGUGUAGAGCAUAAACAUAUAUAGUUUUGUCUAUCUUAAGCAGUCGAGAUAUUUCUAAUUCGACUCUCAAGUUCUUAAAAUUUUUUGUUUAAAAUAUGCAUAUACAGACACAGUCGGGAUAGGAGGAUAGAAUUGUCGUGUGAUUGGUGCAAGACGAUCAAGAGGCUGUCUUUACCCCCGCAUUUGGCGCUGAUGUGUAAUUCUCAGUUCUCCCGUAGAUGGACGGAUAGAUACUCUACUCCCACUAGUACGUACUAUAUCUAUAUGUGCUGCGUCGAGCCAUCUGACUGACUGACUUGUUGAGUGUACAAAACAAAUACCACUAAAAAACCCAGUCAGAUCAAAAUAUCAAAUGUGUUUCUUGGCCUUUGGGUCUCCUCCAACCCCGUAGGCUGCUCUUGGCCUUUUCUACAUUUUUUCUCCCACUCCACAGUCUAUACACCCACUCUUUUGGAGGGCGGGGGAGGAAAAUGUAACACGAACAAAUGUGCAAGUAGCAUGCAAUUGACUACAGUACAACAAACAAGUCCUUAUAAAAUGACCACAAUUAUCACUCCUAUUAUUAAUUACACGUUCCUCUUUUAGGCCUCCUCCACCCGACUCCCCUUGUCUUUCUCCCUUCCAAGGCUUCGACUUUAUCCAUCAUCAAUUUAACUUGCUACAACUGCAGCAGCACUAUGGAAAGCCAGAGGGGUCCUCUUCUGAAUUGGCCUUACUUCUACCAAGGAAAGGUUAGGCAUUAUGUAUAUCUUCAAUCCAUUCAUUUGAUCUGAUGAGAAUUGUAAUGUGUACUAAAGAUGUUUGUUUGGCUGAAACAGGGCAUGGAUGAACUGAGGCAAUCACUUCUGCUGACUACUAUGGAGCUGGAGAACACGAGGCUAAAAGCACAAGAGGAGCUCAAAAUGAGAGAUGAUCAGCUAUUUCAGCUCAAAGAUUUGCUCUCAGCAGAACCAUCAAAGAAAGGGAUGAAGCACAAGAACAAUGCCAAAGACUCGUGCUUGAUAAGCUACUGCUCCAGCAGCAGCAGCUGAUGCUUCACGCCAGAAUCAGCAAUCAGCACCCCUCUCUGGAAUUUCAAGCAUCGAAGAUGAGCCCAGAAGAGGAGGAGGAGGAAUGGACUCCAACAACGGCUUUUCUUCCUCCGACUGCGAAGAAAGCAUUGUUUCAUCGCCAAUUAUUGAGCAAAAUCCGCCGCAAGAAUUGACUUAUCAGCUUCAAGUUCAACCACAACAUCCCACAGCAGAAUUAGACCCAACAUUGCCUAUUUUGACAGACAGGCCAUUGCCUGAAAAAGGGCAGUUCUUGCAAGCUGUUAUGAAAGCUGGGCCGUUGCUUCAGACACUUCUUUUAGCUGGCCCUCUCCCACAGUGGCGCCACCCCCCACCACCACUCGACUCCUACCAGAUUCCACCGCCACCUACACCUCCAACACUAUCGGGUCACUCCCUAAAUCAAGAUUCUUUACUCACCAUUGCUGCCUACAAUAGUAACAUUAACAACUGUGGCAGAAUGAACAGGAAAAGGGGUUACUUUGAGGGCUCUGAUUCUUCAACUGAAGCCAAGUAUCAAAGGCUCGUUCUUCAAUGACUAGUAGUGCCGUUAAUCUACUUCCACCCCAUAAAGCAGAGUGAUACAAGUAGUUCUUUUCUUAGAGGAGGCUUGGAGUACGAUUUUGGAACCUGGGGUCAACUGAUCAUAUACUAGCAUUCUGUACAUAGUUCAGAAAUUCUUGAGUUAAGAGGCUGAAAAGAUCAGAGUUAAUCAGCUGUAGGAGAAGACUAGGGAGACAGGGAUGUUUGUUGUGGUCCUGUUUUUUUACUUUUCAGCUUGUUUCUGCCUCAGUAUUGGUUGGUUUGUCUGCUUCACCAGUGUCAAAAUUCCCUCUACCUUGUGCAAAGGGGAUUUGAUUUUCCAAUAUAAUUACAAGGGGAUAUUUUGCAGAUUCGACGUGCAAUUCAAAUAUUGUUGAGUUUGGUUAAGUAUGCAAGUAAUAAUGCAACAAUUUUGUCGCUCAUAAUUUAGUCAUGAUGCAGAUAUAUGAUGAAUAAGAAAUGCAUGCUUGUGAUUUGCUCAAGCGAAAGGGGCUAUCAGCAGAAUUAACUUGACUAGCAUGGUCGUACAAACGUUCACUCAACCUGCAAUGUCUGAUGUUCCACCAGCUAUAGUUUCUUGACAAUGUGUCAUGCAGUGGGAGGUGGGAAAAUAGAGUGGGGAAAGAGGGGUUGUGGGGGUUUGGAGGAACAUCAAAAUGUUUAUGUAAACGGAACAUCAAAAUGUUUUUUUUUUUUUUUAAAAAAAAAGAAGAUCAUGAAAAAUGGUAUUUUAGAACGUGGAUUGGUUACAUUGGAGGAUAGCAGAAGGCCAUAGCCAAGAGCCGCUAGGUCCAGGAGAGCCUUGUUGUCGGGUCGAGUGGUUCCCACAAAUCAGAAUCAGGAUCUACUACUUGUGUGUGAUUUAUUAUUUUAAGUGGAUUUGAUGCAUCUCAAAUCAUUUUUAGGUACAUUUUGAUCCAAAGUUUUCUUUAAUACUGCUGCUACUGCUUUCCCCAUUUCUCCAUCCACCCCCACUCCCCUCAUAUUUGGUUAGCUAAUUCCAAAAAGUUCAGUAAUUUUCUUGUGCCGGUCAAUUACAGAAGUCCAAAGCAAAGGCAAAUACAAGUGUGAGUGCGUGCUGCAGUUUCUUUCUUAUGUUCACAGGACAUCCAAUUGUUAAUAGACUAAUAGUAUGGACGCAGGGAAUAAUCCAACCUCGUCCUUUGGGCUGCUUCUAAGUGUUGCCAUUUCAGAAUAUAGACUUCGGAAGUUUUCACUGCCGUUUCCUAUGGUCCGAACACAAGCUACAAAGGCCAAUUUUGCAUUUUUCAUUUCUCUUCCUUGUCACUAUCCUUCUAAAAACAACCAAUUUCCAGCUCAUGGGAGUGCGGAGCAAGGCAAAGAAAGAGCCUCUACUCAGAAGAAAAAUGAAGAGUCGAGUCGAGUCAAGAGUCUAAGGUCCGAUAUUUUUAGUAGAACCAUAGAAGAUCAGCUAUCAGACAUUUUUAGCAGUGACUUGCUACAUUUGAUCAUGCGCAAGUGUGAAAGAGGAUAACGGUUUAGGCAUCUUGCAAAUGUUCUCGACUCCUGGGGUAGACACUUUAGACCAGAAACUCUCUUCUCUUCGUUGCAAAAAUUAACGGCAGAGUUUCAAAAAAUCCAAUCCGCCCUGGUGGCAGAAGUUUCUGCUACCUGAUGAUGACUAGAAAGAGUCAGAUGGAAGUACUAACGCGAUUGCGGUUCUUUGACUUCAAAAGUCUUUUAACGAACUCUAGCAGCCUCCAAAGGGAACGCUCUCAAGCCUGAGACCCAUCCUUUUCAAUCCCAUACCUAACCUACCCCCAUCCAUGCCUAAUGCGCGUUUAACCAACAUCAUUGCCAGGUUUACUAACGUUUCCAAAUCCCACAGCAGGCACAGCAAGUAAUCAUUGGUCCCAAGAACCCAAGUCUGGUGCCCCAAAGAAAAUUUGAGAAUUGAUAGAGAAAGACAAUAUCGUGCUAAUCACCCCAGACGUAGAUAUGAAACUGUGAAGAGGCAUUCCAGUUGUAUCACAACUGGUAAACUUGAAAUCCAAAACCCAACUGCGUUUUCCCGUGGAAACGCGAUGUCUUCUUCCUCUUGACAACAUAUGCACAAGCAGGUCAAGUAAAUACUCGGUCUCCAGCUGUAACAUGUGCCAUUUUCUAGAACACAUUCAGACCAAGUAAUAACCUGAGGGAUAAUGCUCCCACCGUAUAAGCAACAGUCUUGGAAGUCCGUCUUUCUUUUUCUUUUUUUCCGCCUUCUUUCCUUUGCCCAGAUAUAGAUCAAAUUAUACAUGUAACAGCUGGAAACUGCUAAAGCCAGAUUUUAAAAUGAAUCAACAGAUUAUAUGGGAAAACUGGAACAGCAAAUAAAAGGUUCCGAGUAUUGCAGCGCAUCUCUAUCUUUCAUAGCAAUAGAAGAAAGUUUACAGCAGAUAGGAGGGUCUGCAACUUGAAAACCAGAACUGUCACCUCUCGAAUUUUGGGUAUCAGUAUUGGAAGGAUGGGAAACCAGCAUUAGAAUGAUGACAAACUUAAUACCAAAAUGGCAAAAUCCUAAAUGUGUGCGUGUGUGCGCGCGUGUGAGAGAGAGAGAGAGAGGGAAUCCCCACCAAACAAACACACACCACCACAAAAAAAAAAGUUGCAAGACACGGAUAUGAUUGUGAAAUAAAUACAGGGUUUUUAUCUAAAGAUGCAUGCAAUCAAAAGUAUCUGGACAGGUUUUAACAUUAUUUUGGUAGCUGUGACUCAUAAAUCAUAAUUCAAGAAAUUAAAUGGGUUUUAAAUGACAUGUGCCAUCGGUUAUAUUACUCGCACUGUGAAUAUUACUUAGAUCAGUGAAACCAAUGCAUCAAAUUUGACAAUAACACAAGUUUGCAGAGGGCACGACUUACUUUUGUGGAUGCCCAGACAUGCACAAUAGGCAUCAUUUCUAUAAAUGAACUAAAAUAUCCAACUAAUUGCUUUCAUUAUUGCUCAUCAUCAUCGCGGUUACUUUGAUUGUGUUUCUGAGCUCUAUAAAUAUCUGCUACCUGCAAUCCAACAACAAUUCAGAAAGAGGCCCAGGCAACAUUUCAUUAAUGUGCGAAAGAUUAUCAGUGAAUUAAUAAAGAACCAGCAAUCAAAAGAUUUUUCUUUACCAUAUCAGCAGAAGAGGCAUCCUCUGGAUUCUUAUCUUCUCGAACCCGUAGUAAACGUGGAAACCGAAGAGAAAUUCCCUUUGGAAAAUUAAAAUUAACAAGGUGAAGGGAUAUCAGAUUUGAAUCACAGGAACAAAAUUUUUCAUUGUCUAAGAAUAACUCACGAUCUACAUAACAAUAAUCUCAACACCCGGUUUACCACUAGUUUGGUAUGUCAGAGGAAAAAAAAGUGUCACGAUGUGGCAUGAAGUUCAACAGCCAUAUACACUUUCCUUUGGGGCACGACGAGGGGCAGCACUCCCUCCAAAAUUGAAUGAAGUCUAAAGAUUUUACCAUGUACAUAAUUUAUUUUCAAAGUAGUCCUUUUUGACAAAAGGGUUUGCCCCUUCUAAUGUUUUAAAAAUCUUAUAGCACUUAACAGAGCACCGCAGCCCCCCCACCCCCCCAACAACAAAAAAAACACCCAGCGGCUAACAAAAAGUCUUGGUUUUGCCAAUGCUUGCAAAAAAGGAUAGAAUGAUAGAAAAAGGGAGGAGAAAAUGACCAGUAAAAUUAAUCUUAAGAGCUUAAUCAAAGUAUGAUGGAUUCACUGCCAGGAAGUUCAGAUGUAUUCUUUAACUUAAUUGUACACGCUUGGAAGUAAACAAAUACCUUGUCUGAAUCCACAAUACCAGUAGCAGCACGAUGAACAGGACUGAUAGUCAGAUCAGCAGCUUUUACCUCCCAAACCUGAAGGAGUAUGACUCAAAAGAUCACUGUAUGAGGCAGAACAAUAAUCUGCAUAAAAAAGGAGCAUGCUAGAAGAAAGUCUAUAUUCACAAGGAACGGGAUUCCCACAUGUACAACACGAAGAAUGCUAAUAAAGCAUCCAACUUAAGUCUAAAAAAAUGGAUGUAUCAAACAAAACCCAUAGAGCAAGAAAACUUCGCUCCCAACAUUUCUUCCUGAGUACAGAAACACUCUGGAAAAGAAUAUCACAAAACAUUGGCAUAGAAUUAUUGCAUAAUUCAUUACGAUCAAUGAGAAUCUCACAAAAGAAUAGACAUUGAGAGAUUAUGUGAGCCAGCUGGCACUGAUGUAAAAAGCAGAGUAAUGAAAAAAAGGAAGAAAAUCACAAACAAUGAACAGAAAAGGAAGCAGAGGAUAACUUAUACUACCUCAAUAGGUUCAAACCAUACAUCUGGAUUGAUUGUAUCUGAGUACCGGUAAUAAGACUGGGAUAUCAUUUAAAUCCAGAAACAUGUCAGAAUCCGUAUAAGGUUUACAGAAAUACAAAAUUCUUCCUAUUCAAUGAGGAAGUAAAUGAAAUACCUUUGGCUUGGGAAUAACUUUAGAGCGCAAGCUGGCAGAGCGCUCUUCAAGCACAGCUUCAGAAAAUCCAGUGCCUAAGCACAACCAAGAAGUUUCUUAUCACUUGAUGUCAAGGGAUGUAUGUAUUUAGAGUUUAGACAAAGUAAUUGAAGUUUCCUAUCAAGGUAAAUUUCACAGUGAACCAUUAAGUAGGCACAUUACCAAUUUUACAUAUGCUCUGGAAUUCUUCGUUGUUGACAUCAUAACAAGCAAGGAGAAAGGCUCCAUAAACACCUAAAAAUGGUUCAACAAAGUUAUGAAACCAACUUCCAAUAAAUGCAGCAAUACAAACCCAAUUAAAAAGCAAAAGAGUAUACACUGGUAACUAUAUCUGAAGCUAGGGUGAAGAAUGUCAAGCAUAGUGACACAAAUCUGAAUCUGAGCCAAAAUAAGCGAAUAAUCACUUAGUGUCCUCUCAAAAAUAUGAUAUGUCAAAUUACCAGUACGUUUUCCCCGGCCAUGGAAAGCAGCAAUGGGAACCAAAUCCAGUGAGUCACCCGUACUGCAGAUCAUAUAAGGUGAAAAGUAAGUUUUCAUCCUUGGUUGCUUUUCAAAUUUCUGUAGUAAUCCUUUCUCGUCGAGGCUACUACAGCAUGCCAUGAUCAUUCAGUUUCUAUAUUUAUGUUUGACCUUCUUCUUGACAUUCCAAAUCAAUUACUCGGGGCAGAAGUUCAGCAAAUUUAAGGUUGAUCUAGUAUUUCAUCCAUCCCUUUAAAUGUGUGCUUGCUACCAAUCCAGUAUUUCAUCAAUCCAUUGAAUGUAAAUUUGCCAUUUUUUGGAUGUAUCGAUUUACCUAAAAGGUAAAAUUGCUGAAUAAUUAUGCCCCAAAGGAAUAGCCAGUGCUGUGAGUUCAAUGCACAUACCUAUCCAUGUAAUCCUUUUUCAACUUCAGCCAGUUAUUUGACCGCUUGGAAGGCUCAUACGUGGCAUCUUUCUUCAAUGUCUUAAUUAUCAACCCCUCACAACUGCAAAGAUGGAUAGACAAAAUAACAAACAGUUCUUGUAGAAUCUGUAGAAACAUUUUUGUUGAUUCUGCAGAAAGAAGCUCCAAGCUAGGAGCCCUCAGGUGAAGCUAAGCACAUCUCAACUUUGAAGCCAGAAAAAAGGGAGAAACUACUACUUCUUAGACAAAUAAUAUUACAUUUCACCAUCUAUUAAUGCAGGGAAAAAAAGGGAAAAAGAACUCCUUAGACCACAGCACAUUAGGAACAUAUAGCAAGAAAAAAUGACAGAUGUACAGAGAAAAAACUGAAUUAAAUUAUCUAACUAGUUGACUUUUCUGACCAGCCAAAAUUCUAGUGCACUAGAAGCCAUAAGGUUGGAUGAUCUUAUAUUGCACUAGGCAAGCAUAAGAUCAUCGAAUACAACAGGUUUGACCUAACAGAGAGAAACUGUAUUGUACAAAACUUUGUCCACAGGCAAAAGUUGACAGAUAUAAUAAUUACGAUUCCGCCAAGUGCAGAAGUCAAAGAUUAAAAAAGAAAAAUUCUAACAGUAAAUAAAGUAGAUUAAGCCAAUUAGUAACAAUACAAUAAGGCCACGACAGGAAAAUGAUCUUGAACUCUGCAAAGAAGAGUUACCUGGCAUCAACAGCAGCUUCAAGGAACUUCUGUAUUUCCUCAAGAUCAUUUGAUGUUACUGCUGUAGCAAAUUGAAAAAAGCCAGGUUCUUCCUCAAAUGACUCGUAAAGAUGCUGCAUAAAACCAGUCAUAAAGAGUAAAGGAAAAUAACAUGACUACUAAAAGGUCGACAAUCAGCAUUAAAGAUAAUAGCCUGAGACAUGUUUACUGAGCAAGCACUGUCAUUUGGAUUCUUUUUAGUUUAUUUCAUCGUGGGAAAAGGAGAGGAGAGUCACAAGACGUUCUUUAUGCGAUACUCAAAACAUUUUGGUCAAACCAUUUUAGUAAUUUGACUUUAAAUAAAAAAUCCAAGAGUCUUUUUACCCAACGCUAAAAGCAGAUAAAGAUAUUAACAUCAUUGAACAAAAAUUAGCAUACCUGCCUUCGACUGUCAAGCUGUGCUUGUAGAAGAGGUUGGCCAUUGAUAUACAAGAUAUCAAAAGCAUAUAUGCAAACACCAACCUUUAUUUCACUCAAGACCACAUUUUUACGAGCCCGUGUGCUGAGGACCUGCCACCAAUUCAAUACUUUUAAGUCUGAAUUUGUAAUACCAUUCUUACAACUCUAGUCAUAUUAGUAGCCCAAUUAGUAAUGAAUCUACCCUUAGUCAUAUUCAUCAAAAUUUCACCACCUUCAAAUAUUUUAGAGCAGACACUGGACAGAUCAAAUUGGCCGAAACUUUAAUACCUCAACAGUCAAAAAUCUCCAGUUCCUAUCAAAGAAAAUCAAGAAUUUUAUGACAUCAACUGACUCAAAUGAAGCACCUGAAAUAGAUGCAAGAAAGAACUUGCACGUGUAGUUUUAAGAUAUCCCAUAGGGGGACUGAAGGUGUUGGGAAGCAUUUCAUGGGCCAGGCCCCAGGCAUGCCCCAUUUAAGUUCAUGAUGAGAUAGCCCAUAACAGAUAGCCCUAGGAUUUUGAGCAUGCUCAAUACCAAGAUGAUUCUUACAGCACCCAAAGUUGACGAGUUCACAAACGAAAAACAAAGAUGACUCGACCACUUUCUUCCCAAUACAGGAUUGAAGGAGAUUUGUUACUUUGCCAAUUUAAUACUUCAGCAUUGAUUGUACAUAAAUUAUUAACAUUGUAUAUGUUGUUGUCAUAUGCCACAACAAAGAUCAUGAAGGCUACACAAUAAGCAAUGCUAGAGCCAGAAUGGGAGACUUAAAUCAGUUAGCAAUCGAUUUUUCUAUUUAACUUCAAUUGUUCUGAUGUGCUAGCAUAGUUAAAAGGACCACUUCAGCAGGCCCAUGACAAAAUCAGAUUUACAAAGAUCUUGCACUUAGGCAAGCUCAAUAUUACAGAAGUAAACAGUUCACCUGGAAGGGGAGAAUUUUUUUCUUCUCACGAUCAAAUGCAACAAUUUCACAAUCAAGAACAAAUGAGGUUACAGACGGCCUUUUAAACCUGCAAUAAAACAGCUAAAUGUCAGGAAAAUUGAGAGAGAUUUUCUGGCAGACUUGUAAUGUUAGUAGGGAACAACUAGUCAUUCUUAAAAAUAAGCUCUACUGAUAUACUCUCAUACCCAACUAUGUAAAUUAUGUUUCUGCUCAUUAAGAAAGCAAUAGACUACAAAAACCCAUCAUGAGAAGGCCCACCACAGCAGUGAAAGUACAGUGCUAAGCUCAGACAGCCUUACUCAACCAAGUAAAGAGACUCUUCCUGUUCAUCAAACCAUUAACCAGCUUGUGACAGCAUGUUCCAAAUCAAAGUUUGAGUGGGCUACAAUAAAAGUACCUUGAAAUUGCAUCCACAACAUCAGGAUACUUUCCAGUGUUUCUUUCUGCAUUUCGACUAUAUAUCUCCACUGUACCAUCCUCCAUGUAGUGAAUCUGCAGGACAUGGUUAGACAAACACACAUCAUCAAGACUGUGAAAGGAAAGGCAUAUAACAUAGGCGUCAUGUCUAGUUUCUUGCUACCUGAGCACGUUCUCCAUCGUACUUGUAUUCACAGGUGAAUUCAAUAUCCUGAAACUUAUCCAAUAUUUCAGAAACUCCCUUAGUUGGUUUUGCUAGCAUAGGUCCAACAGGAACACCAGGUGAAAAGCUACAUGUCUUGGGAAGAUCCCAUACACCAUCAGCAAGAAGAGCAGAGAUUAUUUUAUCAUAGACUGGAAUUACCGAGUAAACUUGUUUCACGAUUUUAGCAGCCUGAGGGAAGGAAGGCAAUUUCACAACAUGUUUAUGCAAUAAACAAAAAACUCUCUUAAAUUUGCACAUAGUAUUAGCAUAAUAAUAAAAUCUAAUUAAAAAAUUUAUUCAAACUCUCUCAGAAGCUUAAAUUCAUGCCAAGAUACCUCUUCUAAAGAAGAAUCUAUAUUUGCAGGAGUUGAAGAUUGCUUAUCAGCAUAAACUGCAGCAUGGCCCAAAGCAGCUAACAGAGUUUGCUCAGCUAAACCAAUGCGCAGUUUAGCCUGCAUGUAGAGUUCAAGAAUAAUUUUCAGGGAUUAAAGGUGCCAAUUUGUGAUAUUAGAUCUUCAAUUGUCUCACCUGGAGCAGACGAAUCAAGUACUGAGGUUCACAAUCUGUAGCAGCAACCAGUAGUGCCUUGAUAUGAUUCUUUUUCUUCUCUUGACUAUCCUUACCAGAUUCCUAACGCAAAUCACGUAGAGAUACAGUUACAAAACUAAAAGAAGUAAACCGUUGUUAUGCUCUUCUCUAGAUCAAUAAAUUAUAAGUUAAUAAACAAGCACCAAUUCAUGUGCAUAUCUCGGCUGAUUACCCAUCAUCCCAAAAAAAAAAAGCCUCUCUCUCUCCCCCCUGAUGUUCAACUUUUCUCACCCGUCUCUCUCUCUUCCGUUUCCUCUGUAAUCUUUAUCUUAUUCUCUCUCUCUCUCUACCUAUGCUUCUCUUGCCCCCCUCGCAACUUUCACUUUUACCUCCUAACCCAUCCUCUCCUCUACCGGUCAGCCCUCCCUUCAACAUGCAAUGACCAUGGAAGCCAAGCUAGAGAUAGAUAAUUGAGGAUUUUUUUUGUUGGUCUCAUGGUAGAUCAGCCUUUCCUACAUAUUAAUAGUGUUGUGGGGAUGUUGUUGGGAAUUCAUGAUGGAUCAAAGUUUUGAUUAACAGUUUGUGGUGAUUUUGGUGGUUUUGCAGAUAUAUGAAAUUUUGAAAAAAUAGUGUGCUGUCAUUUGAAAUUGGUGGGGAUUAGUGGGAUGAUUCAAAGAGUUGAAAACAUUUCUAGUUUGGCAAGAAUGGAUGUGAUGUUAGCGGCUGCUUUUGUUGUUUGUUGUUGGCUGAGUUUUUUUUUUUUAAUUUCGUUGUUGGCUGAGUUCGGUGGCGGUCUAGUUGCAGUCAUACAGAGUCCAUUUGGGAAGAAAGAUAACAAAGUUGGCAAAAGAGGAAAGAUAACAAAGUUGGCAAAAGAGGGCAAAGAAUUAGCUAGACAUACUAAAAAAAAAAUUCACUGGAUUCCUAUUUCACCACAACAAACCAAACAUACGAAAAGAAGUUGCUAAAACCCAUUACGAUUGAGGACCCUUGAUACUCAUUGCUAUUGCCAUUCCAGAAUACCAACCAAACAGGUAGUUAGUGUACUCUAGCUCCAAAACAUUUCAAAAAAUAGAUUUCAAGUUUCAUGUAUGGAAACCAAUAAAGGCAGCUAUGAAUAUCUUAAGGAAUAAGGCAAUCCAGUUUAACUCUCCUCUACAGCGAAUAAGAUCAAAGCUCAUCAUCGAAGUCCAUGAAAUAGGAAAAUUCCCAGGCACCUUAGCAAUAAGGCGAAAUGUAUCAAAAACUUUAACAACAAUUAGUGCUUCUGGUUUGCGCAUUAAAGACUGAGACGAACGGCUUGCUUUUGCAACAAGGCCUAGAUCACCAAGCUCCUGAGGCAAGUCGGAUAGUGAAGUAAUCAUUCAAAAUCAAAAAGAAGAAAGAAAUUGCGGGCAAAAACUUGCAGGAUUUUGAUAUGUCAGGAGAUUCCUGCACACAAAUUAUUAAGCAAAUAUAACUAGACUACACCAUUCGCAAGCUUUGAAUGAAAUUCUGCUCCUCUAACUACAAAAUUUCUUAAAACAAGUGCAGUGUACUCAUUGCAGAAAGAUCAGCCAGAGCCUUCCAUUAAAUCAAGCAACUAGAGUCACAGAAGUCAAGUAAAUCAUAAAGAGAAUAAAUGAUAAAUUUUUUUUUGCAAAUUGUAUCUUAGAUCAAUUAAAAAAAAAUUUUCCAGACAAGCUACUGCGUACAAAAUGUAACAACAACCAACGUACAGCUGCAGCCAAAGAAAGUAACAAGGUAAAACUAAAGCAGCUUCUCAAAUAAUGCAGUUACUUCGUAGAACCAAAAUCGAGCCCAAAACUAAAAUCACAGGCAAAGGGUCGAAUGUUUUUGACAUCAACAUAGCACCAAAGCUAAAUUCAAAAUAUUCAAUUAAAUGUGGCAUUUGACUGGACAAGCUUUUUUUCUAAUCCCAUUCUUGAUAAUUUGUAUAAGAACAAUAGUGCUUGUACAGAGUUAGUAGAUACCUUGCAAACCGAAUCAGACAACACAAUAAUCACCAUAGCAGCAUUCUACAGCAUUGAAGCCACAGCUAGGCAGAGACCUAAAUACAGCAUGGGACUUAUGUUUCUUUCUCCUCCCCUAUUCUCCAUCUCAUUUGUUAAUGUUUUGCAAUUAAUGAAACAAGGCCAAAAAUCUCUAGAAUUUCAUUUACUAGAACUGAGAACAAGUUACCCGCGAUCAUUCUGUCAUUUCACUUGAAGUACAAUUUCUUUAAUUUCUUGGCAUCGAGUUAAGAAAAGCCAACUCCACAAACAAUAAUAUUCAGAGAUAAGAAAAGAAAUUCAAUCAGUUCUAAACCACACCCAAGAUUUGAUAAACACGAGUGACUGGAAUGUAGUAGAGUUUCACCUUGUACUGCUUCUUAAUUUGUGCUUCUUUUGUUCCGCACGCCUCGUACAGAGCCUUAAUAAUCGAAGCAUCCCCAAUCCCAAGCUCCAAUCCUUCAUGAGCUGGAGCAAUCCGGUUCGCCAAAAGGUAAACAACAGCCACCAAAUCCUCUGGCGUCGUUUCCAUCACAGUCCUCAACAUGUUACAAACAAUUGCAGUUAUCGCAAUCCGCCCUGAUUCUUUAGAAAUAGCAUCCAACGCCUUCGCUACAAACAUAAACGGCACCCUUUGUGCCUUUCCCCAAUAUGCCGCCUUCUUGGGAUCAAAACUUGCCGCCUUAUCCUUCAACUCAAGAAGGCUCGCAUCAGGAGUAAUUGCCACCUUAGGUUUCUUAACCACCGCUUCCUCACUUUUCCCCAGCUGGGUUUCUUAAACACCGCUUCCUCACUUUUCCCCAGUAAUUGCCACCUUCGUCAUUUUUCAUAUUUUUUUCCAGCUGGGUUUCUUUAAUUUGAGCUGAAUCAGGUUCUUUGACUGAAAUCGGAGUAGAAUUUUGAGAAGUGAUGAUGGGGGUGGGGGUUUUGCGUUUCUUGGGAGAUGGUUUUUGUUGUUUCUGCACGGACUUUUUCUUGCUGGCAUUGGACAUGAGGAGGUCGAAGGCAGAAGGGUGAGAAGCCAUUGCUGCUAGUGAUCCUGGAUUAACUAAUGGAAUCGAGAGAAAGAGGGAUCUCUGAGAGAAGUGUUUUGCGGGGAAGGAAGAAUAGAUGAGAAAGUAGGGCUUAAAACCGAGUGGUUUUCUGAGGGGAUGAAGCGAAAGAGUGUGGUGGGUAAAGUGGAGUGAAGAAGAGCAUGACCUGAAUGCGGUGAGCAUCAGCUGCCGUUUUUCUGCUACGGAGAGGGAGACAACUGACACGGGUUGCUGUUGCGGAUGCGGAUGGCUAGGAG
This 30715-nucleotide long non-coding RNA is filed under the name Coffea arabica (coffee). RNAcentral's name for it is "long non-coding RNA (CARA_LNC007146)". Lineage: Eukaryota; Viridiplantae; Streptophyta; Magnoliopsida; Gentianales; Rubiaceae. The record is from RNAcentral.